This 292-nucleotide ribosomal RNA is filed under the name uncultured bacterium. RNAcentral's name for it is "partial 16S ribosomal RNA". The record is from RNAcentral.
GGACUACUGGGGUUUCUAAUCCUGUUUGCUCCCCACGCUUUCGUGCAUGAGCGUCAGUGUCAUCCCAGGAGGCUGCCUUCGCCAUCGGUAUUCCUCCACAUCUCUACGCAUUUCACUGCUACACGUGGAAUUCUACCUCCCUCUGACACACUCUAGCCCUGUAGUUUCAAAUGCAAUUCCCAGGUUAAGCCCGGGGCUUUCACAUCUGACUUGCAGAACCGCCUGCGCACGCUUUACGCCCAGUAAUUCCGAUUAACGCUUGCACCCUACGUAUUACCGCGGCUGCUGGCAC